Musca domestica (house fly) is the source of this 541-nucleotide long non-coding RNA. RefSeq lists it as uncharacterized. NCBI's taxonomy places the organism in Eukaryota, Metazoa, Arthropoda, Insecta, Diptera, Muscidae. The transcript has 2 exons. The record is from RefSeq and is a predicted model, not a curated record.
UCAUUCAGUGUUUUGUGUUGAGACUGUUUAGAGUUUGAUACGGUGUUCCGGAUCGCGUUCUUUUUACUGGAUUUUUGGACCGUUUUGAAAUUCCAAUUUACAUCUUCACCAUCACCAUCAUUACCUCCGACUUCAUCAUUAUCAUCACCAUCACUCAUCGGCAUCCCAAAUUAAGGAAGCAUCAAUUCAUGUCACCAUUCACAGCUGCAGUACCAACAGAAAUUGGAUUAAUAAACAAGGACAUGCAUCUGUUGACGGGCUAAAAGGUGACUGAAUUGCUAUUCCAUGGAAUUAAAUCAAAAACCGGGAAACACCUUACAUUCGCACACACCACCCCACCCUACCCGCAAUAAGACGAUCAAUAUGGACCAUCGAUGAAACUCUCAAUACGAGCUUGACACUAAAACAUUGAAUCACCCAAUGCUGGGAUACUUCAAACGAUGUUUCGAUAUUUAAACAAAAUUUUAAUUUGUUAUUAAUUUAGGUUAAAUGAAUAAAAAUUGCAAUAGGCGAAAAAAAUGUUUGCUGGCCCAGCAGCAAA